Molecule: ribosomal RNA, 254 nt
Filed under: uncultured bacterium
Lineage: Bacteria
Description: partial 16S ribosomal RNA
Rfam family: Bacterial small subunit ribosomal RNA
Source: RNAcentral
GACGUAGGGCGCGAGCGUUGUCCGGAUUCAUUGGGCGUAAAGAGCGCGCAGGCGGUUUUGUAAGUCGGAUGUGAAAACCCGGGGCUCAACCCCGGGCGUGCAUCUCGAUACUGCCCGACUAGAGGUAGGUAGGGGAGAUCGGAAUUCCUGGUGUAGCGGUGAAAUGCGCAGAUAUCAGGAGGAAUACCAAAGGCGAAGGCAGUGUCCUGGGGAGUGUCUGACGCUCAGGCGCGAAAGCUAGGGGAGCGAACAGG